Procambarus clarkii (red swamp crayfish) is the source of this 156-nucleotide long non-coding RNA. RefSeq lists it as uncharacterized. Lineage: Eukaryota; Metazoa; Arthropoda; Malacostraca; Decapoda; Cambaridae. The record is from RefSeq and is a predicted model, not a curated record.
GGCCCGUGUGGACAAGUGUUGGAUCAGAGGAGUCAAGGUUGUGGCAAGCUGCUCCUCCUAGAUUCAAUCCACUGAAGACUCAAAAGGCCAGGAAAAACCCCAGAGUACCAAGGACAACAUCCACCUGUAAAGCAAAAAUAAAGUAUAUCAAACAGG